AUGAGAUUGGUAUACUUCCCCGUGGUCUCCACCACUACACCAUCGCCGCGCUGCUUCCCGGUCCUCUCAGCUUCAAAGAGUUCGUGCUCCAUUUGUUCCACUCCGAGACGUCGAGCUAGACCUCCACCGUGCUGCCCGUGGCGGAGCCCCAGGUGGAGUUCGAUUGGGUCAUCCCCACCAACACGGAUCUUUAUUACCACUAUACCUCCAACAUCAUCACGAUCGGCGGCGAGCACGGCACCAUGGGCUGGGUCGAUCUCUGGCGAGGCAUCCUGUUGUGCGAUGUGCUGCGUGAGAAACCAACUCUCCGCGGAAUACCGUUGCCGCUGCCCAUGGAACAUAUCACCCGCGGCAAACAUUUAG
This 363-nucleotide ribosomal RNA is filed under the name Triticum aestivum (bread wheat). Its description in RNAcentral is "partial small subunit ribosomal RNA". Lineage: Eukaryota; Viridiplantae; Streptophyta; Magnoliopsida; Poales; Poaceae. The record is from RNAcentral.